AUUGAACGCUGGCGGCAGGCUUAACACAUGCAAGUCGAACGAGUGGCGGACGGGUGAGUAAUGCUUGGGAAUCUGGCUUAUGGAGGGGGAUAACUACGGGAAACUGUAGCUAAUACCGCGUACCAUAGGAUGAGCCCAAGUGGGAUUAGGUAGUUGGUGAGGUAAAGGCUCACCAAGCCGACGAUCUCUAGCUGGUCUGAGAGGAUGACCGGCCACACUGGGACUGAGACACGGCCAAGACUCCUACGGGAGGAAGCAGUGGGGAAGAUUGCGCAAGGGGGGCAACCUGACGCAGCCAUGCCGCGUUAAUGAAGAAGUUCUUCGGAUCGUAAAACUCUGUUAUUAGGGAAGCGGUACCUAAUCAGAAAGCCACGGCUAACUACGUGCCAGCAGCCGCGGUAAUAC
This 405-nucleotide ribosomal RNA is filed under the name uncultured bacterium. RNAcentral describes it as "partial 16S ribosomal RNA". It matches the Rfam family "Bacterial small subunit ribosomal RNA", at positions 30 to 526 of the family's 1533-position model. The record is from RNAcentral.